GUGCGCAACGAAUAGCGAAGCUGAGCUAUAAUUUAGAAAAAUUAUCGACAACGCGUUUCCCCUUCGAUUUUCCAUUUCUAAACUGUGGAUAAAGUUUCCUUGCGAACC
Apis mellifera (honey bee) is the source of this 108-nucleotide non-coding RNA. The record is from RefSeq and is marked provisional. NCBI's taxonomy places the organism in Eukaryota, Metazoa, Arthropoda, Insecta, Hymenoptera, Apidae.